UGGCACUGUAUGUGGACCUGGAUGA
This 25-nucleotide non-coding RNA is filed under the name Mus musculus (house mouse). The record is from RNAcentral. Lineage: Eukaryota; Metazoa; Chordata; Mammalia; Rodentia; Muridae.